CUACCAUUUUCGACACACGGUGGGUUUGGUUUUUGAGUUUUGAGUUUUUUGAAUAUCUUUGUUUAUUUUAUUUACGGAGUACUUCUUCAUAAAUACCUCCCAGACCCUUGCUCUGAAGUAAUACAAUCCUCAUCACUAACGCCUAAUCCGAGCUCUCGCCCUCCCGUAACUUACAUUGGCAGUUGGUGGUAAUAUGGGUGACUUAUUAGACUUCGCAACCACAUUCGGCUACAACUCCUGGCUUGGAAUUGAGUGGGGAAAGGGAUGUCCUUUCGCACGGGAACUCAUCGCUGGUGAUGUGAACACCUCAAAAAACAAUGCCCGGAAGUUGGUAUAUAACCCACAUCAAGCACUGGCCAAAUGCGAGUUUGGAUAGCAUGGGGAGUGACAGGGCCCACACUAUAACUUAGAUUCAUUGUGCUUCAUGCGCAAAACGCAAAAGGAGCAAGUUCAAAAUUUUCCAUCAUAUUUUAUUCCAAACGGUCAUCCAUCGAUCCGCUCAAUUUAUCUAUAUCUUUCGUAAACCUCUUGCUCACGUAUCCGCUCCUCGACUUUCCGAAUUACUUUCUCAUCAUAUAAGUCCUCGACAGCCUUACCACCUUUGAGAGCUUCCCGUUCAUGUCGCAGCGCUUCCUCCUUAGUCAUGCAAACCAGUUCUUUCAGGUCAAGUCGCGCUCCCCUUUGCCCUUCCUGCUCCCAGAGCGGAUCAGGACCAAAUCCAUGCUCCGGCUGCUUCCAACGCACCAACAUCAGCCGUGUAGCCAAGCCGGUGACGACGCUUUUUCCUCUCCACACUUCCUCGAUCAAGUAAGCGACAUCAUCCUUGUUAAUGGGUAUGCGUAGUCCGACAGGAUCUUGGCCAGAUUCGAAUUUCGCUAUGCGUUCCUCCAUCCCCUGCAGCGCUCCCAAGAUGCUGUCAUACAUCUUUUCUCGGCCUUUGGCACCCGCGUUGUACUCGUUGGGAUAUCCAGAUAUUUCGCAAAUAACAUGGUUGGCGAGGGUAUAUCCAAAUACAGCUGGCAUCGUGCCGACGACGGGGAGUAUUCGCACCCGAAAAUCCGGGAGAACACCGAGCUCGCCAACCUCCCCUUUCGCAAACUCUUCCUCAGCCAGAGGCAGUAAAGCAGCCUUUCCGGGACCAGGCUUUUCGGUAGAGAAAACCACUGGAAUUCCUGAGUUUACCCCAAGUGCCUUCAAUCGACGCCGCGUACUUCUGGAGAGAGGAUCCUCGGCGCUCAAGGAGAUAUCGCCUAUUGCGAUGCGAGUGGGGUCGGAUUUACAUCCUGCGCCCAUGGAAGAGAUGACGGGGAUGUUGUGGGAGUGGCAGUAGUGAAGGAGGGAGACCUUGGACGAAAUGUUAUCAAUACAGUCCAGAACAUAGUCUGGCUUCCGCGCCACCUUGUCACCUUGCAUGUUCCACGGGCCUAGUAAAGCAUCCGCGGCGGUUUGACUAUACAGUUCAUCCCGGCAGUCAAACCGGACCCAAGGCACUAUUUGCUCCAGCCUCUUUCGCAUGCAUUGGACUUUUGGCGUACCCACAUCUGAAAGAGUUGCAACAGCAUGUCGAUUUAAUGACGAAAGGGUGACCUGAUCGAAGUCUAUCAAACGGAUCCGGGACACUCCAGAGCGCGCCAGGGCUGCAGCAGCAUGAGAGCCGACGCCUCCACAUCCCACAAUUAUUAUGAAUGAGGAGCGAAGUUUUGCUAACCCAUCGUCGGUAAGGAAGACGCGAUUUCGAGCAAGUUGUUCUAGGAUUAAAUCUGUAAUUGUGACAAAGAGUGGGAUUAGCACUCGAUCUUUGUAUGUGGAUGUACCAAAGAGGAAAAACAGUGUACCAUCAUCAUAGUCCCCGGCUUGAGCUCUUCGAGCAAGAGUAGUACCUCGUUCAUCUUCUUUACUAGGGUUCGGCGGCGUUGCUAGUCCGAAUUCUGUAAGCUUCAACUCAGACC
RNAcentral lists this small RNA (1949 nucleotides) under Histoplasma capsulatum. Its description in RNAcentral is "hypothetical RNA". Lineage: Eukaryota; Fungi; Ascomycota; Eurotiomycetes; Onygenales; Ajellomycetaceae. RNAcentral also lists the same sequence under 1 other name. The record is from RNAcentral.